This is a non-coding RNA of Pelobates cultripes (western spadefoot toad), 440 nucleotides long. Lineage: Eukaryota; Metazoa; Chordata; Amphibia; Anura; Pelobatidae. The record is from the annotation of a GenBank genome assembly.
UGGUUAGUGGCAAAUUGAAACUUUAAGACUGCUGCUGUUCUAGAGAACAAUGAGAAAGUAAGAUAUAAUGACCAAACAUGAUGGGUUUAUUUUAUACAAAACUGUGGCCAAAAAAAGUAAUCUCCUAUGACAGUUAAAUGGUGCUGUAUGUGCAUGCUAGCCAGUAAAUGAGCACUCCAGCCAAAUUGUAAAACUGACUGCCCAUUUUCUGUAAUUUUGACAGUCAUGUGAUGUUAAAGGACCACUAUAGUGCCAGGAAAACAUACUCGUUUUCCUGGCACUAUAGUGCCCUGAGGGUGCCCCCACCCGGCUCUGGAAGGGGGAAAGGGGUUAAAACUUACCUUUUUCCAGCGCUGGGCGGGGAGCUCUCUGCCUCUGUUCCUCCUCCUCUCCUCCCCGUUGGCUGAAUGCGCACGCGCGGCAAGAGCUGUGCGCGCAUU